Molecule: transfer RNA, 65 nt
Filed under: Scriptaphyosemion bertholdi
Lineage: Eukaryota; Metazoa; Chordata; Actinopteri; Cyprinodontiformes; Nothobranchiidae
Also listed under: 1 other name
Description: tRNA-Cys
Source: RNAcentral
AGUCCUGAGGUGUCCACAUAUUAGAUUGCAAACCUAAAGUCGCAGGGUAGAGCCUGCCGGGACUU